This 253-nucleotide ribosomal RNA is filed under the name uncultured bacterium. RNAcentral describes it as "partial 16S ribosomal RNA". It matches the Rfam family "Bacterial small subunit ribosomal RNA", at positions 524 to 776 of the family's 1533-position model. The record is from RNAcentral.
UACGGGGGGGGCAAGCGUUGUUCGGAAUUACUGGGCGUAAAGGGCUCGUAGGUGGCCAACUAAGUCGGACGUGAAAUCCCUCGGCUUAACCGGGGAACUGCGUCCGAUACUGGUUGGCUUGAGUUUGGGAGAGGGAUGCGGAAUUCCAGGUGUAGCGGUGAAAUGCGUAGAGAUCGGGAGGAACACCAGCGGCGAAGGCGGCGACCUGGACAGGUACUGACACUCAACUACGAAAGCGUGGGGAGCAAACAGG